UUUUAUGUUUACCACCCUGAACGCACCCGAUCUCAUCUGAUCUCAGAAGCUAAGCAGGGUCGGGCCUGGUUAGUACUUGGAUGGGAAACAUAAAAU
This 96-nucleotide ribosomal RNA is filed under the name Saimiri boliviensis boliviensis (Bolivian squirrel monkey). The record is from RNAcentral. Lineage: Eukaryota; Metazoa; Chordata; Mammalia; Primates; Cebidae.